CUUCAUCUCUAACAAAAAGGAAAUCCACUUCAAUAUGCUUAGCUCGAGCAUGCAAAAUAGGAUUUUGGCCGAGAGAUAAGUAGCACCCAAACCACAAUGCUAGUGGAGAAGAGAGACACCCAAUUUUUACAAGAGAGAGCACAACCAAACUUAGUUAUAGUAUUAGUAAUUGCUCUACACUCAAACUCUGUGGAAGAUUUGGUAAUGAUUGUGUAUGAGAGGACCAUAAAAUAAGAGUGCUACGAAGGUAUGGUAAACUCACUUAUUCAUUUGGGAUCGUCUAGGCAACCAACCAAAUUCGCAUGUAAAAAGGAUAGCAAUAAACUAGUAGAAGUCUUUCAAAUGAAUAGCACAAAAGUGAUAGUGUCCUUCA
RNAcentral lists this long non-coding RNA (373 nucleotides) under Phoenix dactylifera (date palm). RNAcentral's name for it is "long non-coding RNA (PDAC_LNC000162)". The record is from RNAcentral. Lineage: Eukaryota; Viridiplantae; Streptophyta; Magnoliopsida; Arecales; Arecaceae.